CCUACGGGAGGCAGCAGUGAGGAAUAUUGGUCAAUGGACGAGAGUCUGAACCAGCCAAGUAGCGUGAAGGAUGACUGCCCUAUGGGUUGUAAACUUCUUUUAUAAAGGAAUAAAACGAGGCACGUGUGCCUUUUUGCAUGUACUUUAUGAAUAAGGAUCGGCUAACUCCGUGCCAGCAGCCGCGGUAAUACGGAGGAUCCGAGCGUUAUCCGGAUUUAUUGGGUGUAAAGGGAGCGUAGAUGGGUUGUUAAGUCAGUUGUGAAAGUUUGCGGCUCAACCGUAAAAUUGCAAUUGAUACUGGCAGUCUUGAGUACAGUUGAGGUAGGCGGAAUUCGUGGUGUAGCGGUGAAAUGCUUAGAUAUCACGAAGAACCCCGAUUGCGAAGGCAGCUUACUAAACUGUGACUGACGCUGAAGCACGAAAGCGUGGGUAUCGAACAGGAUUAGAUACCCGUGUAGUC
This 460-nucleotide ribosomal RNA is filed under the name uncultured bacterium. RNAcentral describes it as "partial 16S ribosomal RNA". It matches the Rfam family "Bacterial small subunit ribosomal RNA", at positions 338 to 795 of the family's 1533-position model. The record is from RNAcentral.